UGCCAGCAGCCGCGGUAAUACGAAGGGUGCAAGCGUUGUUCGGAUUUAUUGGGCGUAAAGCGCGCGCAGGCGGAUUAUUAAGCCAGAUGUGAAAUCUCGGGGCUCAACCCCGAAACUGCGUCUGGAACUGAUAAUCUAGAAUCACGGAGAGGAAAGGGGAAUUUCGCAUGUAGGGGUAAAAUCCGUAGAGAUGCGAAGGAACACCAGAGGCGAAGGCGCCUUUCUGGACGUGUAUUGACGCUGAGGCGCGAAAGCGUGGGGAGCAAACAGGAUUAGAUA
RNAcentral lists this ribosomal RNA (279 nucleotides) under uncultured bacterium. RNAcentral describes it as "partial 16S ribosomal RNA". It matches the Rfam family "Bacterial small subunit ribosomal RNA", at positions 506 to 784 of the family's 1533-position model. The record is from RNAcentral.